This 1363-nucleotide ribosomal RNA is filed under the name Arthrobacter sp. RNAcentral describes it as "bacterial SSU rRNA". It matches the Rfam family "Bacterial small subunit ribosomal RNA", at positions 68 to 1441 of the family's 1533-position model. The record is from RNAcentral. Lineage: Bacteria; Bacillati; Actinomycetota; Actinomycetes; Micrococcales; Micrococcaceae.
GAUGAUGCCCACUUGUGGGUGGAUUAGUGGCGAACGGGUGAGUAACACGUGAGUAACCUGCCCUUGACUCUGGGAUAAGCCUGGGAAACUGGGUCUAAUACCGGAUAUGACCUUCCAUCGCAUGGUGGUUGGUGGAAAGCUUUUGUGGUUUUGGAUGGACUCGCGGCCUAUCAGCUUGUUGGUGGGGUAAUGGCCUACCAAGGCGACGACGGGUAGCCGGCCUGAGAGGGUGACCGGCCACACUGGGACUGAGACACGGCCCAGACUCCUACGGGAGGCAGCAGUGGGGAAUAUUGCACAAUGGGCGCAAGCCUGAUGCAGCGACGCCGCGUGAGGGAUGACGGCCUUCGGGUUGUAAACCUCUUUCAGUAGGGAAGAAGCCGCAAGGUGACGGUACCUGCAGAAGAAGCGCCGGCUAACUACGUGCCAGCAGCCGCGGUAAUACGUAGGGCGCAAGCGUUAUCCGGAAUUAUUGGGCGUAAAGAGCUCGUAGGCGGUUUGUCGCGUCUGCCGUGAAAGUCCGGGGCUCAACUCCGGAUCUGCGGUGGGUACGGGCAGACUAGAGUGAUGUAGGGGAGACUGGAAUUCCUGGUGUAGCGGUGAAAUGCGCAGAUAUCAGGAGGAACACCGAUGGCGAAGGCAGGUCUCUGGGCAUUAACUGACGCUGAGGAGCGAAAGCAUGGGGAGCGAACAGGAUUAGAUACCCUGGUAGUCCAUGCCGUAAACGUUGGGCACUAGGUGUGGGGGACAUUCCACGUUUUCCGCGCCGUAGCUAACGCAUUAAGUGCCCCGCCUGGGGAGUACGGCCGCAAGGCUAAAACUCAAAGGAAUUGACGGGGGCCCGCACAAGCGGCGGAGCAUGCGGAUUAAUUCGAUGCAACGCGAAGAACCUUACCAAGGCUUGACAUGAACCGGACCGCUGCAGAAAUGUGGUUUCCCCUUUGGGGCUGGUUUACAGGUGGUGCAUGGUUGUCGUCAGCUCGUGUCGUGAGAUGUUGGGUUAAGUCCCGCAACGAGCGCAACCCUCGUUCUAUGUUGCCAGCACGUGAUGGUGGGGACUCAUAGGAGACUGCCGGGGUCAACUCGGAGGAAGGUGGGGACGACGUCAAAUCAUCAUGCCCCUUAUGUCUUGGGCUUCACGCAUGCUACAAUGGCCGGUACAAAGGGUUGCGAUACUGUGAGGUGGAGCUAAUCCCAAAAAGCCGGUCUCAGUUCGGAUUGGGGUCUGCAACUCGACCCCAUGAAGUCGGAGUCGCUAGUAAUCGCAGAUCAGCAACGCUGCGGUGAAUACGUUCCCGGGCCUUGUACACACCGCCCGUCAAGUCACGAAAGUUGGUAACACCCGAAGCCGGUGGCCUAACCC